This is a non-coding RNA of Triticum aestivum (bread wheat), 126 nucleotides long. The record is from Rfam. NCBI's taxonomy places the organism in Eukaryota, Viridiplantae, Streptophyta, Magnoliopsida, Poales, Poaceae.
UUUGUACUCCCUCCGUCCGAAAUUACUUGUCGUAGAAAUGGUUAGAAAUUAGAUGUAUCUAGCACUAAAUUAUAUCUAGAUACAUUCAUUUCUCCGACAAGUAUUUCCGGACGAAGGGAGUAUGUG